AGUCGAGGGGUAACGUGAGUGCUUGCACUUGACGACGACCGGCGCACGGGUGCGUAACGCGUAUAGAACCUACCUUAUAGUAAGGGAUAGCCCAGAGAAAUUUGGAUUAAUACCUUAUAGUAUGAUAAGAUGGCAUCAUUUAAUCAUUAAAGAUUUAUUGCUAUAAGAUGGCUAUGCGUUCUAUUAGCUAGUUGGUAUGGUAACGGCAUACCAAGGCAACGAUAGAUAGGGGUCCUGAGAGGGAGAUCCCCCACACUGGUACUGAGACACGGACCAGACUCCUACGGGAGGCAGCAGUGAGGAAUAUUGGACAAUGGAGGCAACUCUGAUCCAGCCAUGCCGCGUGUAGGAAGACUGCCCUAUGGGUUGUAAACUACUUUUAUAGAGGAAGAAACGGUUCCACGUGUGGAAUUUUGACGGUACUCUACGAAUAAGGAUCGGCUAACUCCGUGCCAGCAGCCGCGGUAAUACGGAGGAUCCACGCGUUAUCCGGAAUCAUUGGUUUUAAAGCGGCCGUAGGCGGGGCUGUAAGACAUUGAUGAAAGUUU
RNAcentral lists this ribosomal RNA (548 nucleotides) under Aquimarina sp. Its description in RNAcentral is "bacterial SSU rRNA". It matches the Rfam family "Bacterial small subunit ribosomal RNA", at positions 60 to 603 of the family's 1533-position model. The record is from RNAcentral. Lineage: Bacteria; Pseudomonadati; Bacteroidota; Flavobacteriia; Flavobacteriales; Flavobacteriaceae.